RNAcentral lists this ribosomal RNA (374 nucleotides) under uncultured bacterium. RNAcentral describes it as "bacterial SSU rRNA". It matches the Rfam family "Bacterial small subunit ribosomal RNA", at positions 524 to 898 of the family's 1533-position model. The record is from RNAcentral.
GACGUAGGAGGCAAGCGUUAUCCGGAUUUACUGGGCGUAAAGGGCAAGUAGGCGGUUGUCCAAGUUGGGCGUGACAUCUCCUGGCUUAACUAGGAGGGGUCGUUCAAUACUGGAUGACUUGAGGACAGAAGAGGGAAGUGGAACUCCCAAUGUAGCGGUGGAAAGCUCAGAUAUUGGGAAGAACACCAGUGGCGAAGGCGGCUUCCUGGUCUGAUCCUGACGCUGAGAGGCGAAAGCUAGGGUAGCAAACGGGCUUAGAUACCCCGGUAGUCCUAGCUGUAAACGGUGGAUACUAGGUAUCGGCGGUUAAGGCCGUCGGUGCCGAAGCUAACGCGUUAAGUAUCCCGCCUGGGGACUACGACCGCAAGGUUAAA